AAUGUCGUAACAAGGUCUCCGUUGGUGAACCAGCGGAGGGAUCAUUGCUGGAACGCGCCCCAGGCGCACCCAGAAACCCUUUGUGAACUUAUACCUUACUGUUGCCUCGGCGAGGCCGGCCCCCCGGAGGGGGGCCCCCUUCGGAACGAGGGAGCAGGCCCGGCCCGGCGGCCCAAAGUCAACCCUUGUUUUUUGACACUGAUACUCUGAGAAACAAACACAAUUGAUCAAAAU
RNAcentral lists this unclassified non-coding RNA (234 nucleotides) under plant metagenome. Its description in RNAcentral is "partial contains small subunit ribosomal RNA and internal transcribed spacer 1". The stretch from base 1 to 47 matches the Rfam family "Eukaryotic small subunit ribosomal RNA", at positions 1785 to 1831 of the family's 1831-position model. The record is from RNAcentral.